AGGGGAGUGACGCCGAGAGGCCUAAGGCACCUGGUUCUGACCCAGGAAUUCGCAGGUUCGAAUCCUGCCUCCCCCGCCA
This 79-nucleotide transfer RNA is filed under the name Burkholderia ubonensis. RNAcentral describes it as "tRNA-Gln". It matches the Rfam family "tRNA". Rfam says of the family: Transfer RNA (tRNA) molecules are approximately 80 nucleotides in length. Their secondary structure includes four short double-helical elements and three loops (D, anti-codon, and T loops). Lineage: Bacteria; Pseudomonadati; Pseudomonadota; Betaproteobacteria; Burkholderiales; Burkholderiaceae. The record is from RNAcentral.